AGGCCCGUAGCUCAGCGGUUAGAGCGGCGCUCUUAUACAGCGUAUGUCGGUGGUUCGAAUCCACCCGGGCCUACCG
This 76-nucleotide transfer RNA is filed under the name Candidatus Andersenbacteria bacterium CG10_big_fil_rev_8_21_14_0_10_54_11. RNAcentral describes it as "tRNA-Ile". It matches the Rfam family "tRNA". From Rfam's summary of the family: Transfer RNA (tRNA) molecules are approximately 80 nucleotides in length. Their secondary structure includes four short double-helical elements and three loops (D, anti-codon, and T loops). Lineage: Bacteria; Candidatus Anderseniibacteriota. The record is from RNAcentral.